UACAGAGGUGGCAAGCGUUGUUCGGAAUUACUGGGCGUAAAGGGCGCGUAGGCGGCCAUCUAAGUCAGACGUGAAAUCCCUCGGCUUAACCGGGGAACUGCGUGUGAUACUGGAUGGCUAGAGGUUGGGAGAGGGAUGCGGAAUUCCAGGUGUAGCGGUGAAAUGCGUAGAUAUCUGGAGGAACACCGGUGGGGAAGGGGGCAUCCUGGAGCAGCACUGAAGCUGAGUGAGCGAAAGCCUGGGGAGCGAACGGG
This 254-nucleotide ribosomal RNA is filed under the name uncultured bacterium. Its description in RNAcentral is "partial 16S ribosomal RNA". It matches the Rfam family "Bacterial small subunit ribosomal RNA", at positions 524 to 776 of the family's 1533-position model. The record is from RNAcentral.